Molecule: long non-coding RNA, 213 nt
Filed under: Mytilus galloprovincialis (Mediterranean mussel)
Lineage: Eukaryota; Metazoa; Mollusca; Bivalvia; Mytilida; Mytilidae
Source: RNAcentral
GUGUGUUACAUUAUCAUUUUGUUUUUUUGUUGCACUUCAGUGUUUCUGUUGUAUCGUUGUUUUCUAUUAUAUUAGUUAAUGUUUUCUUCAGUUUUAGUUUGUAACCCGGAUUUGUUUUUCUCAAUCGAUUUAUGACUUUCGAACAGCGGUAUACUACUGUUUCUCUUAAUUAUAGUUCCCAUUACUAAGACCUUCGGCAUUCAAGAUUUAGAC